GUCCUAAAUCGCUUUCCGUAGAAAUUGCACAUGCAGAGAAGACGAGACAUGGAUGGUAUUUUCCAACUGUCAACGUACAACUUUGAAUCUGUUGUCAUCCAUAAACGAUUUGGCUCUGAAUGUGGAGGUGUAAACAGUGUUCUGAAAGUGAAUCUACAAGGCUAUCGAGGAUAUUAUUGAUGGAAUGACAGAAAUGGAGAGAGUGGCUUUGGGUGUCUACAUUGUUCGACAUGAUGGAGCAGAUGCUACAGAUCCACCUGAGGAUGUUGGCGUUGGCAUUGAAGAAUGCACAGUACUGCAAGAUCUAAGAGAGAUUGCAACUGGAUGUGCAGUCCUGUUUGGCUUGAUGUACUGUUUAAACUUGAGUUAUCCCAAGGAUACACUUUCGAAUUUUUUCAGAAAGUGUUAAUGGAAUUGGAUGGGAACAAGCUCUCCACUAGGUCCUCAAAAACAAACUGCAUGAGUAAACUCACCUGUACCAGAUAAGACUGGAAAAGACUUUUGUUGACCAUUACUUUAUUUUUGGACUGCUGCUAUACAAAAUAAAGCUGCGAUCAAUGACUGUUUGUAAUAAUUGCCAUUACAUGUGAUAAGAUCACCUAAAGCAGACAAGACUGUAGUUGGUCAUCGACUUGCUUGGGGAGGCUCAGUUCUUUUGUAUUUUGGACUGCUGCUAGACAAAACAUCCAGUAAUCUAAAGACAUUAUGUUUGUUGCAGUAAUUGGCAUUUGUUUGGUGAUUUCUAAUUGGAUCAAUAUAUAUUAAAUUGUACGCCAUGCACUGGUUUGUUUUUUAAUGUAGAAAUCUUAAAUAAUUCAAGGUGGGGGUUUUUGUUACAUAAACAUUAUACAUACAUUGAACAUUGUCAGAUGGUAAAAGCUUCACAUACAAGUUUUAUACUUUUGAAUUUUUAUUUAUAUUGGUCUAAUUGAAUUUUAUAAGUGGGUUUAUGUUAGUGUCUUAAAUUUUAUUUGUACCUUUUGUAUUUGUAUGUAAAUUUUGCUUUGGCAAAACAUUUAGUCAGUCAUGAUGUCUAUUCAAUGUUGAAU
Molecule: long non-coding RNA, 1049 nt
Organism: Paramisgurnus dabryanus
Lineage: Eukaryota; Metazoa; Chordata; Actinopteri; Cypriniformes; Cobitidae
Source: RefSeq, a predicted model, not a curated record